This 520-nucleotide ribosomal RNA is filed under the name uncultured Glomeromycotina. Its description in RNAcentral is "SSU rRNA". It matches the Rfam family "Eukaryotic small subunit ribosomal RNA", at positions 569 to 1093 of the family's 1831-position model. Lineage: Eukaryota; Fungi; Glomeromycota. The record is from RNAcentral.
AGCAGCCGCGGUAAUUCCAGCUCCAAUAGCGUAUAUUAAAGUUGUUGCAGUUAAAAGCUCGUAGUUGAAUUUCGGGGUCAGUAGGUUGGUCGUGCCACGGGUAUGUACUGGUCUCACUGAUUCCUCCUUCCUGAUGAACCGUAAUGCCAUUAAUUUGGUGUUGCCGGGAAACUGGACUGUUACUUUGAAAAAUUAGAGUGUUUAAAGCAGGCUAACGCUUGAAUACAUUAGCAUGGAAUAAUGGAAUAGGACGUUCGAUCUUAUUUUGUUGGUUUCUAGGAUUGACGUAAUGAUUAAUAGGGAUAGUUGGGGGCAUUAGUAUUCAAUUGUCAGAGGUGAAAUUCUUGGAUUUAUUGAAGACUAACUACUGCGAAAGCAUUUGCCAAGGAUGUUUUCAUUAAUCAAGAACGAAAGUUAGGGGAUCGAAGACGAUCAGAUACCGUCGUAGUCUUAACCAUAAACUAUGCCGACUAGGAUCGGAUGAUGUUAAUUUUUUAAUGACUCAUUCGGCGCCUUACGG